ACCAUGCUUCGUGUCACUUUGUUCCCAACGCGUUUGUAACUGCUUUCAGAAUCAAUUCACAGAGGUCAAGCCAGUAAAUGAUAGGGUAAGAACCACAAAACAAUCACGAUAAGGUUGUUUCAUAACAGUGAGUGAGUUCUACAAGUG
Etheostoma cragini (Arkansas darter) is the source of this 147-nucleotide long non-coding RNA. RefSeq lists it as uncharacterized. NCBI's taxonomy places the organism in Eukaryota, Metazoa, Chordata, Actinopteri, Perciformes, Percidae. The record is from RefSeq and is a predicted model, not a curated record. The transcript is spliced from 3 exons.